This 492-nucleotide ribosomal RNA is filed under the name uncultured bacterium. Its description in RNAcentral is "partial 16S ribosomal RNA". It matches the Rfam family "Bacterial small subunit ribosomal RNA", at positions 29 to 507 of the family's 1533-position model. The record is from RNAcentral.
AGUGAACGCUGGCGGUAGGCCUAACACAUGCAAGUCGAACGGCAGCACAGUAAGAGCUUGCUCUUACGGGUGGCGAGUGGCGGACGGGUGAGGAAUACAUCGGAAUCUACUUUUUCGUGGGGGAUAACGUAGGGAAACUUACGCUAAUACCGCAUACGACCUACGGGUGAAAGCAGGGGAUCUUCGGACCUUGCGCGAUUGAAUGAGCCGAUGUCGGAUUAGCUAGUUGGCGGGGUAAAGGCCCACCAAGGCGACGAUCCGUAGCUGGUCUGAGAGGAUGAUAGGCGACACUGGAACGGAGACACGGUCCAGACUCCUACGGGAGGCAGCAGUGGGGAAUAUUGGACAAUGGGCGCAAGCCUGAUCCAGCCAUACCGCGUGGGUGAAGAAGGCCUUCGGGUUGUAAAGCCCUUUUGUUGGGAAAGAAAAGCAGCAGGUUAAUACCCCGCUGUUCUGACGGUACCCAAAGAAUAAGCACCGGCUAACUUCGUG